UAUCAUAAGCGAGGAAAAGAAACUAACAAGGAUUCCCCUAGUAACGGCGAGUGAAGCGGGAUGAGCUCAAAUUUAAAAUCUGGCUGGUUUACUAGUCCGAAUUGUAGUUUAAAGAAGCGUUUUCGGUGGCAGCCUGGGUAUAAAUCCUUUGGAACAGGGUAUCAUAGAGGGUGAGAAUCCCGUCUUUGACUCAGUGCAUGCUACUAUGUGAUACGUUUUCAAAGAGUCGAGUUGUUUGGGAAUGCAGCUCAAAAUGGGUGGUAAAUUUCAUCUAAAGCUAAAUAUUGGCGAGAGACCGAUAGCGAACAAGUACCGUGAGGGAAAGAUGAAAAGAACUUUGAAAAGAGAGUUAAACAGUGCGUGAAAUUGUUGAAAGGGAAACGCUUGACACCAGUCAUGCGAGCGGAAAAUCAGUCUUUUGCAGUGGGGAGUUGUGUGGGUUCGGACCGCAAGGCCGGCCUGCGCUGCAUCUCUGCUGUAAGUGAUGCACUUUUUCGUUUGCAGGCCAACAUCAGUUUCUUCUGCUGGACAAAACUCUUGAGAAGGUGGCAGCUUAGGCUGUGUUAUAGCUCUUGAGCGAUACAGUGGAGGGGACUGAGGUUUUCGCAGCGCGUGCUCUCGGGCAAGGCUGAUUGGGUGCUAUGGGAUCGUUCGGUGUACAAUGCAUGCAUUUUGCGCCGUGUCUUUUCUAUACUCGCUCAACUCGGCUCUUCCGCGCUUAGGAUGUUGGCUUAAUGGUUUUAAUCGACCCGUCUUGAAACACGGACCAAGGAGUCUAACAUAUAUGCAAGUGUUUGGGUGGCAAACCCAUGCGCGUAAUGAAAGUGAACGUAGGUGCGAUCCGCAAGGUGCAGCAUCGACCGAUCUUGAUAUUUUUGGAUAGAUUUGAGUAAGAGCAUAUAUGCUGGGACCCGAAAGAUGGUGAACUAUGCCUGAAUAGGGUGAAGCCAGAGGAAACUCUGGUGGAGGCUCGUAGCGAUUCUGACGUGCAAAUCGAUCGUCAAAUUUGGGUAUAGGGGCGAAAGACUAAUCGAACCAUCUAGUAGCUGGUCUG
Molecule: ribosomal RNA, 1054 nt
Filed under: Mortierella alpina
Lineage: Eukaryota; Fungi; Mortierellomycota; Mortierellomycetes; Mortierellales; Mortierellaceae
Description: LSU rRNA
Rfam family: Eukaryotic large subunit ribosomal RNA
Source: RNAcentral